GAAAAGAACUUUGAAGAGAGAGUUCAAGAGUACGUGAAACCGUUCAGGGGUAAACCUGAGAAACCCAAAAGAUCGAAUGGGGAGAUUCAUCGUCGACGAAGCUGGCUCCCGUUGGUGCGCGAUACCCCGAAUGGGCCUUAAUGGUUCCAAGGCGAGGGUACACCACCUUCGGCGAACGAUCCGGCGACGUAGUCGUGCACUUCUCCCUUAGUAGAACGUCGCGACCCGUUGUGUGUCGGUCUACGGCCUGGGCUAAUUGCCUGUCGCGGCGCCUUCGUACGCUCGCGGCAGAGGCUCGGUCGCCUGGCCGGCUGCACGACGGUACUCUGACGGUAUCGGGCCGCAACCAAUCCAUUUUCGAAUGUGUGUGCGUCGGACCCGCCGCAAGCUCGGACAGAUUUACUCGGAGUGUGCGGACCUAGAGCCCUCACCGGGUCUGGCCAGCUGUUGGCAGGCGGUGUUCUUGGACUGGCCAAGCUUUGAAUUACCGGUCGGCGACGCUACUGCUUUGGGUACUCUCAGGACCCGUCUUGAAACACGGACCAAGGAGUCUAACAUGUGCGCGAGUCAUUGGGACAUGUAAACCUAAAGGCGCAAUGAAAGUGAAGGUCGGCCUCGGCGUCGACCAAGGGAGGAUGGGCCGCUUACGUCCCGGCCCCGCACUCCCGGGGCGUCUCGUUCUCAUUGCGAGAAGAGGCGCACCCAGAGCGUACACGUU
RNAcentral lists this ribosomal RNA (718 nucleotides) under Leioproctus sp. NML-2007. Its description in RNAcentral is "eukaryotic LSU rRNA". It matches the Rfam family "Eukaryotic large subunit ribosomal RNA", at positions 366 to 810 of the family's 3401-position model. The record is from RNAcentral. Lineage: Eukaryota; Metazoa; Arthropoda; Insecta; Hymenoptera; Colletidae.